GUAGGAUGGCAUCACCGACUCAAUGGACAUGAGUUUAGGACCAACUCCCGGUUUUAAGUCUCUGAAAUCUCUAAAGCAUGAAAGGAAGAUGCUGUGGUCUCUCUUGGACCAAAGGACAGGGGCCCCGCCGGCCCGGAAGCCCCUUCACCUGGAGGUCCAAGCUGAGCUGCUCCCAGAGCUCGUCGUGCAGGGCAGAGACCUCUGCCUCCAGGCUCUCAUACUCCAGGGUGCUGUUCGCCAGGGCCUGCAGGGGGAGGGCUCACUGAGAAGCCGCAGGAACCCUGGACCUUCACCUUCACCUUGGAGGCUCCUGGGAACAGGAAGUUGUCUUCACCCUGGGGGACUCCCCAGAGACCCAUUGGGGGAGGAGAUGGACUUAUUCUCUGAGGAAGCGAGUCAGCUUGAGAGGGGAGCGGGCUGAGAGCUAAACGUCAAGUUCCUGCUCACCCCUCCUCUUGGGGGUCCCAGUUCACAAGAGGCUGAGGAGAUAGCACGGCCUCGCCUCCCAGGCCUCCAGAGUCUCAGGACGGCUGACGCUGGGGUCCCUCUGAGGUCUGGUCCUGGCCUGCACGGAGCCUGUGCCCUGCCUGCUGGGCAGAUCCGCCACCCACGCAAGGCCAGUGGGAAGAGGCAGGAGAAGCCACACUUGUUUCCUGGGGAGAUGUGUGCUUUCCCGUGUCUAUACCUGUAUUCACGCCACUCCUCAAACACCCCCUUGGCUCCUUUCUAUGGACCAAGAAUCUUGUCCAAUCUAUCUUGUCCCCUAGGUCCUUUACUUCAAGACUGGCUCAUAUGCCACCUCCUUGUGUCCCAGGCCCACCAGCUCGCAUGGCACCCAGCCCUGCCCUCCUGCAGGCCCUGGGACAGGUCUGCUGAGACCCAGGCCUCCCGCUGCCCAGAAGCUUCCUGAGGAGGGUCGGGGCCGUGCUCUUCUUUCUAGGCACCCGGGGCUACUUCCUACCAAAGUCUGUGUGCCUGAAAUAAGCACGGGCCACUGCUAUAGACGAGGGCCUCGCACUCAGCGGAGAAACACGCAGCCAUGAGGCCAGCUUGUAGGUGUGGAGGCUGUCCUGGAACACUUCUGGGUACGGAGGGACCUGCAGGAACACGAGACUGGUUACCACAGCAGAGGGCAGGGCGUGCGGGCACAGGAGAGUGGACGGCCCCGCCCUGAUCCUGCCACCGGCCACAGCCUUCCAGCUCAGGCAGCAUCCACUCCAGAACCCGAGCUGAGUCGGCUCUCUGUCCACUGGAGAGCAGGGGGUGGCCUGGCCGAAGCCCGUCCCAGUGGUUCUGGGUCGGUUCUGGAGGGGCUCCGGCGCCGGGUAGCUCCCAAACAGCUCAUGCGUAACAACCAUGCGAACAACAGUUAAGUCUUGGCUGGUUUUGAGGAUAAGAUCUGGGAGAAGAAAAUGAGCAUCGGAAGCAUCUGAAAACGACUGCCCUGGUAGAUGACGUGCCAGUCCCAGGGACUGGGCCUAAACUGGAGGCAUCUCUUGGUCCGGCAAAGGUGCCUCCCACUGGUGACACAUGCAGCAGCCACAGCCAUUCCGCACAACACUCACUAGAAGGCUCCACAUCACACCCCCAUGCUCUCCACCCCAGCGACUGGCAAGCAGAUACCGAACGCAAGAAAGAAGUCCUGGACACUGGGAUCCCUGGCACGGCACGAGAUGUCAGGGCUGGCUAUGCUGAUGGUUUGGGGAAUGAGCCUGGUUCACCCAUGAACAUGAAGAAUGGAGGCGACCCCGGGAAUGAAAGGAGGAAGGCCAGGCUGAGCCCAGGGCUAAGGCCUGGCAGAGGAGCGGGAUCGACCAUGCAUGAGCGGCGGGAAUGACGCUGACGGGAGCGUGCUGCCAGGCAGAGGCCUUACUUGCAUGAAGAGCUGGGCGCUGGGGGAGGAGCUCUCCACCAUGCGGUUCACCACACUGAUCAGAGCCUCGCUCUCACUCAUCUACGGCAGAGGGAGGAACGGGCGGCUCAGGUGCAGCCCUCGCGGGGUCUUCCCCACGCCCUCUGGGCUCCAGGAGCAGUGGAGGGCGGAUCCUCCUGGGGCCUCCAGCACCCUCUCUGCUCUCGCCCGUCACUCACCCGCUGUGAACUCUGGUUCGGGACCUGCACUGAAGCUGCCCACGAGGAACGGCCAUGGCAGGGAGGCGGGAGGUCGCCAUGGCCUCGCCCGGGCCCAGGGACACCUCCCCGGGCACCUGAGCGUUGCAGGCCUCGCCCCCCGGCCCAGCCCUCGUUUCUCACUCUGGUUUGGUCAAGGACCACACAGGCAGUGAGAAAGGCCGAGCUCCCCAAACGAGAACUAAGGAAACCUUAAAGAAAGUGCAGCCUGCUCUGUGGAUGGGUCAGGCACAGGCCUCUCUCCCCAAGCCCUGCCCACCUCUGCUCUAGAGUAGAGAGGAUUAUAAAAUUCGGUUUCCAGAGCUGGGCUGAUAGCAUCCAUGCUGACCUGGGAUGAUGCCAGGGAGCAAAUAAGGAGGUCAAAGCAAGCAAGCCAUGUCAGAGAGACGCCAGAGACUGGGACACCGCUCCCCAAGCAUGUCAUCUUUACACGUCAGAGAUCUUCAGGAACAUGGAGGGGGAAAGACUAUGUGCCAAAUGAAAG
Long non-coding RNA from Cervus elaphus (red deer), 2614 nucleotides. RefSeq lists it as uncharacterized. The transcript has 5 exons. The record is from RefSeq and is a predicted model, not a curated record. Lineage: Eukaryota; Metazoa; Chordata; Mammalia; Artiodactyla; Cervidae.